UACGUAGGAUGCAAGCGUUGUCCGGAAUUACUGGGCGUAAAGGGCGAGCAGGUGGCACUACAAGUCUGAUGUAAAAUCUCCCGGCUUAACUGGGAGGGGCCAUUGGAAACUGUAGAGCUGGAGUGCAGGAGAGGCUAACGGAAUUCCCGGUGUAGUGGUGAAAUGCGUAGAUAUCGGGAGGAACACCUGUGGCGAAAGCGGCUCACUGGACCACAACUGACGCUGAGGCGCGAAAGCUAGGGGAGCAAACAGG
This 253-nucleotide ribosomal RNA is filed under the name uncultured prokaryote. Its description in RNAcentral is "partial 16S ribosomal RNA". It matches the Rfam family "Bacterial small subunit ribosomal RNA", at positions 524 to 776 of the family's 1533-position model. The record is from RNAcentral.